RNAcentral lists this ribosomal RNA (779 nucleotides) under Enterobacter asburiae. Its description in RNAcentral is "partial 23S ribosomal RNA". It matches the Rfam family "Bacterial large subunit ribosomal RNA", at positions 410 to 1191 of the family's 2925-position model. The record is from RNAcentral. RNAcentral also lists the same sequence under 1 other name. Lineage: Bacteria; Pseudomonadati; Pseudomonadota; Gammaproteobacteria; Enterobacterales; Enterobacteriaceae.
GAGUAGGGCGGGACACGUGGUAUCCUGUCUGAAUAUGGGGGGACCAUCCUCCAAGGCUAAAUACUCCUGACUGACCGAUAGUGAACCAGUACCGUGAGGGAAAGGCGAAAAGAACCCCGGCGAGGGGAGUGAAAAAGAACCUGAAACCGUGUACGUACAAGCAGUGGGAGCACCUUCGUGGUGUGACUGCGUACCUUUUGUAUAAUGGGUCAGCGACUUAUAUUCUGUAGCAAGGUUAACCGUAUAGGGGAGCCGAAGGGAAACCGAGUCUUAACUGGGCGUUAAGUUGCAGGGUAUAGACCCGAAACCCGGUGAUCUAGCCAUGGGCAGGUUGAAGGUUGGGUAACACUAACUGGAGGACCGAACCGACUAAUGUUGAAAAAUUAGCGGAUGACUUGUGGCUGGGGGUGAAAGGCCAAUCAAACCGGGAGAUAGCUGGUUCUCCCCGAAAGCUAUUUAGGUAGCGCCUCGUGAACUCAUCUUCGGGGGUAGAGCACUGUUUCGGCUAGGGGGCCAUCCCGGCUUACCAACCCGAUGCAAACUACGAAUACCGAAGAAUGUUAUCACGGGAGACACACGGCGGGUGCUAACGUCCGUCGUGAAGAGGGAAACAACCCAGACCGCCAGCUAAGGUCCCAAAGUCAUGGUUAAGUGGGAAACGAUGUGGGAAGGCACAGACAGCCAGGAUGUUGGCUUAGAAGCAGCCAUCAUUUAAAGAAAGCGUAAUAGCUCACUGGUCGAGUCGGCCUGCGCGGAAGAUGUAACGGGGCUAAACCAUG